UACAGAGGUCCCGAGCGUUGUUCGGAUUCAUUGGGCGUAAAGGGUGCGUAGGCGGCGGGGCAAGUCUGAUGUGAAAUCCCGGGGCUCAACCCCGGAACUGCAUUGGAUACUGCCUUGCUAGAGUACUGGAGAGGAGACUGGAAUUUACGGUGUAGCAGUGAAAUGCGUAGAGAUCGUAAGGAAGACCAGUGGCGAAGGCGAGUUCCUGGACAGUGACUGACGCUGAGGCACGAAGGCCAGGGGAGCAAACGGG
RNAcentral lists this ribosomal RNA (253 nucleotides) under uncultured bacterium. RNAcentral's name for it is "partial 16S ribosomal RNA". It matches the Rfam family "Bacterial small subunit ribosomal RNA", at positions 524 to 776 of the family's 1533-position model. The record is from RNAcentral.